AAGACUAUACUUUCAGGGAUCAUUUCUAUAGUUCGUUACCAGAGAAGCUUCUGUGAUUGUGUAGAGCACCAGAAACCACGAGGAGGAGGUGCAGCGUCUACUCCUGAGAGUGAAGUGCAGGUAUUGCUUCACUGCAACUGCCAUUUGCCAUUGAUGAUCGUUCUUGCUUUCCUUUGGGGGAGCAGGAGGGAGAGGAUGCAGUCUGAGUGGUU
Molecule: small nucleolar RNA, 212 nt
Organism: Carlito syrichta (Philippine tarsier)
Lineage: Eukaryota; Metazoa; Chordata; Mammalia; Primates; Tarsiidae
Source: Ensembl